GGGUGAGUAACACGUAUGGAACCUGCCCGUAGCAGGGGGAUAAGCGGAAGAAAUUCCGUCUAAUACCGCGUAAUAACUCCGAGGGGCAUCUCUUGGGGUUUAAAGGGUAACACCGGCUACGGAUGGCCAUGCGGCGCAUUAGCUAGUUGGCGGGGUAACGGCCCACCAAGGCGACGAUGCGUAGGGGUUCUGAGAGGAAGGUCCCCCACACUGGUACUGAGACACGGACCAGACUCCUACGGGAGGCAGCAGUGAGGAAUAUUGGUCAAUGGGCGCGAGCCUGAACCAGCCAAGUCGCGUGAGGGAAGACGGUCCUAUGGAUUGUAAACCUCUUUUGUCGGGGAGCAAAAGACGCCACGCGUGGCGUUCCGAGAGUACCCGAAGAAAAAGCAUCGGCUAACUCCGUGCCAGCAGCCGCGGUAAUACGGAGGAUGCGAGCGUUAUCCGGAUUUAUUGGGUUUAAAGGGUGCGCAGGCGGAAGAUCAAGUCAGCGGUAAAAUUGAGAGGCUCAACCUCUUCGAGCCGUUGAAACUGGUUUUCUUGAGUGAGCGAGAAGUAUGCGGAAUGCGUGGUGUAGCGGUGAAAUGCAUAGAUAUCACGCAGAACUCCGAUUGCGAAGGCAGCAUACCGGCGCUCAACUGACGCUCAUGCACGAAAGUGUGGGUAUCGAACAGGAUUAGAUACCCUGGUAGUCCACAUAGUAAACGAUG
Molecule: ribosomal RNA, 710 nt
Filed under: uncultured bacterium
Lineage: Bacteria
Description: bacterial SSU rRNA
Rfam family: Bacterial small subunit ribosomal RNA
Source: RNAcentral